UUCCUCCGCUUAUUGAUAUGCUUAAGUUCAGCGGGUAUCCCUACCUGAUCCGAGGUCAACCUAAGAAAAAUGAAUAAAUUCAAUUUAGCGGCAAAAGACCGUACCGACCCAAAGAGCGUUGUUAGAAAUUCUACUGCGCCCAAAGUCGGUAAGACUUCGCCGAAGGUUUUGGGGCGCGCCUGCCUUUCCAGACAGACGGACGCCUAAUACCAAGCAGAGCUUGAGUGGUGUAAUGACGCUCGAACAGGCAUGCCCCUCGGAAUACCAAGGGGCGCAAUGUGCGUUCAAAGAUUCGAUGAUUCACUGAAUUCUGCAAUUCACAUUACUUAUCGCAUUUCGCUGCGUUCUUCAUCGAUGCCAGAACCAAGAGAUCCGUUGUUGAAAGUUUUAAUUUAUUUAAAUUAUAACUCAGACGACUGGUUAAAGACAAGAGUUUGUAUUACCUCUGGCGGGCGCAUGCCGGGCCUAAGACCGGCAGCCGCUUUUUACAGCGGCGGUCCACGCCAAAGCAACAAGGGUGUUUUAACAACAAAGGGUUGGAGGUCGGGCCGUGAGACCCUUACUCAUUAAUGAUCCUUCCGCAGGUUCACCUACGGAAG
Molecule: unclassified non-coding RNA, 599 nt
Filed under: Schwanniomyces sp. JY119
Lineage: Eukaryota; Fungi; Ascomycota; Pichiomycetes; Serinales; Debaryomycetaceae
Description: sequence contains ITS1
Source: RNAcentral